This 253-nucleotide ribosomal RNA is filed under the name uncultured bacterium. Its description in RNAcentral is "partial 16S ribosomal RNA". It matches the Rfam family "Bacterial small subunit ribosomal RNA", at positions 524 to 776 of the family's 1533-position model. The record is from RNAcentral.
GACGGAAGGUGCAAGCGUUGCUCGGAAUCACUGGGCGUAAAGGGUGCGUAGGCGGCCUGGUAAGUCUGGCGUGAAAGCCCAGGGCUCAACCCUGGAAGUGCAUUCGAUACUGCUUAGCUUGAGUGCGAGAGAGGUUAAUAGAAUACCUGGUGUAGUGGUGAAAUACGUAGAUAUCAGGUGGAACACCGGAGGCGAAGGCGGUUAACUGGCUCGACACUGACACUGAGACCCGAAAGUGCGGGGAUCAAACAGG